Molecule: long non-coding RNA, 546 nt
Organism: Vicia villosa (hairy vetch)
Lineage: Eukaryota; Viridiplantae; Streptophyta; Magnoliopsida; Fabales; Fabaceae
Exons: 3
Source: RefSeq, a predicted model, not a curated record
UAAAACUAUACCAACAUUCAACUCUUUCAAAAUCUCUCUCAUUUCUUUAAACCUGUUAAUAUUUUUUGUGUGUUGAAUUUGUUAUAACUUUAUUGAUUAAAGCUACUAUUUUUUCUCUUCUAUUUUCUUCUUCAGAUCUGUAGAAGAUUGUAGAUGAGAUUUUGGAUUUGGAGCUAAUAGUAUAUCAAAGGUAUCUUAUCUUCAAGUUCUGAUGAUUUUAUGUUUUAUUUUUAUUUUCAGAGCUGUAAAAAUAUUAUGGACGGAACUUUGUAAUCCAGAGAAGUUUGAUGAAUGAGCCUUUAUGAAAUUAGAUCUAUAAAAGUUUGUGGAUGAGAUUUUGAAUCUAGAUCCAAUAACAAAUCAGAGAUAUCUAUGUUCAAGAAUGAUCAAAGGGAAUAUGAACUGAUCUAACAAUAAGAGGAUGCAGGUAUAUGUAUCUCUUUCCUUUUUAUUUAUUUUGUUUUAUAUCAAUUUUGUAUCUACAAGGAGAAUAAAUUAAUUUUUCAUGAUUUUUCUUUAAAGGAACAACAGAUAAAUGCAGGUACC